ACGGAAGGCAGCAGUGGGGAAUAUUGGGCAAUGGGCGCAAGCCUGACCCAGCAACGCCGCGUGAAUGAUGAAGGUCUUCGGAUUGUAAAGUUCUGUGAUGGGGGACGAAGAAAGUGACGGUACCCCAAUAGCAAGCUACGGCUAACUACGUGCCAGCAGCCGCGGUAAUACGUAGGUAGCAAGCGUUGUCCGGAAUAACUGGGCGUAAAGGGUGCGUAGGUGGUUUAACAAGUUGGUAGUGAAAUUCCGAGGCUUAACUUCGGCGCUACUACCAAGACUGUUGAACUUGAGUACAGGAGAGGUAAGUGGAAUUCCUAGUGUAGUGGUGGAAUGCGUAGAUAUUAGGAGGAACACCAGUGGCGAAAGCGGCUUGCUGGACGACAACUGACGCUGAGGCGCGAAAGCGUGGGGAGCAAACAGGAUUAGAUACCCUGGUA
This 437-nucleotide ribosomal RNA is filed under the name uncultured Saccharofermentans sp. RNAcentral's name for it is "partial 16S ribosomal RNA". It matches the Rfam family "Bacterial small subunit ribosomal RNA", at positions 341 to 792 of the family's 1533-position model. The record is from RNAcentral. Lineage: Bacteria; Bacillati; Bacillota; Clostridia; Eubacteriales; Oscillospiraceae.